Molecule: long non-coding RNA, 565 nt
Organism: Notolabrus celidotus (New Zealand spotty)
Lineage: Eukaryota; Metazoa; Chordata; Actinopteri; Labriformes; Labridae
Exons: 3
Source: RefSeq, a predicted model, not a curated record
AUCAGAACUGGACCUGUGUAACUAGCCCACAGGUAGAAUGCUAGGAAGAGAAAGAUAAUUGAGGAGAUUACAAAGCCCCACUGAAACAGUUAAUUCAUCCCAACUUUCUGACAUUCAGGUGUUGCCCUUUUUUUGAUCCUGCUCAUCAAACUGUCUGAGUACACCUCUGAACAGUGACCAGAUUAACUGAAAAAAUGCUGGACGUAGUCACCAGGCGCUGGGCUCUCCAUUCACCUGUGAUCCAUCUACUCCUGAUUAGCUGCCUCAUAUAAGCUCCGGUCUUCUCCCUAGUGCCUCCCUCCACCAAGCCUUGGCACCUCACCACAAGCUGCCCAGCCUCAACCACAUCCAACGCCUCUCAACCACUCAACCACUCAGCCAGUUUUGCCACCUUCAAUCACGCCUCCACUAUCCAGCCUCUGGGCCUAGUUCUACUCAGUUCAUCAGCCUGUUCAUAAUAACAUUUCACAACCUCUAAGCCCCAUAUGUGGUUUGCAUUUUGGUUCUGGUUAAAAUACUUGGGUACAAACCGUAACAGUAAUACCUUUGUAAUUUUACUGUUUGU